UGCAGGCUGCAACUCGCCUGCAUGAAGUUGGAAUUGCUAGUAAUCGCGAAUCAGAAUGUCGCGGUGAAUACGUUCCCGGGCCUUGUACACACCGCCCGUCACACCAUGAGAGUCGAUAACACCCGAAGCCUGUGAGCUAACCUUUUAGGAGGCAGCAGUCGAAGGUGGGGUUGAUGAUUGGGGUGAAGUCGUAACAAGGUAUC
Molecule: ribosomal RNA, 203 nt
Filed under: uncultured bacterium
Lineage: Bacteria
Description: partial 16S ribosomal RNA
Rfam family: Bacterial small subunit ribosomal RNA
Source: RNAcentral